UACGUAGGGUGCAAGCGUUGUCCGGAAUUAUUGGGCGUAAAGAGCUCGUAGGCGGUUUGUCGCGUCUGCUGUGAAAACUCGGGGCUUAACCCCGGGCCUGCAGUGGGUACGGGCAGACUAGAGUGCGGUAGGGGAGACUGGAAUUCCUGGUGUAGCGGUGAAAUGCGCAGAUAUCAGGAGGAACACCGGUGGUGAAGACGGGUUGCUGGGCUGACACUGACGCUGAGGCGCGAAAGCUAGGGGAGCAAACGGG
This 253-nucleotide ribosomal RNA is filed under the name uncultured bacterium. RNAcentral describes it as "partial 16S ribosomal RNA". It matches the Rfam family "Bacterial small subunit ribosomal RNA", at positions 524 to 776 of the family's 1533-position model. The record is from RNAcentral.